Molecule: ribosomal RNA, 153 nt
Filed under: Fusarium thapsinum
Lineage: Eukaryota; Fungi; Ascomycota; Sordariomycetes; Hypocreales; Nectriaceae
Description: 5.8S ribosomal RNA
Rfam family: 5.8S ribosomal RNA
About the family: 5.8S ribosomal RNA (5.8S rRNA) is a component of the large subunit of the eukaryotic ribosome.
Source: RNAcentral
CAACGGAUCUCUUGGUUCUGGCAUCGAUGAAGAACGCAGCAAAAUGCGAUAAGUAAUGUGAAUUGCAGAAUUCAGUGAAUCAUCGAAUCUUUGAACGCACAUUGCGCCCGCCAGUAUUCUGGCGGGCAUGCCUGUUCGAGCGUCAUUUCAACC